UACGAAGGGGGCUAGCGUUGCUCGGAAUCACUGGGCGUAAAAGCGCACGUAGGCGGAUCUUUAAGUCAGGGGUGAAAUCCUGGAGCUCAACUCCAGAACUGCCUUUGAUACUGGGGAUCUCGAGUCCGGAAGAGGUGAGUGGGAACUCCGAGUGUAGAGGUGAAAUUCGUAGAUAUUCGGAAGAAACACCAGUGGCGAAGGCGGCUCACUGGUCCGGUACUGACGCUGAGACGCGAAAGCGUGGGUAGCAAACAGG
This 256-nucleotide ribosomal RNA is filed under the name uncultured bacterium. Its description in RNAcentral is "partial 16S ribosomal RNA". It matches the Rfam family "Bacterial small subunit ribosomal RNA", at positions 524 to 776 of the family's 1533-position model. The record is from RNAcentral.